CCGUUUCUUUCAAAAGGAAAGAGCAGAGAAUUUUAAAGUCCCGAACGGAGACUAUGUCAGCACUCUUUGUCAUCUUCCUCUCAUUCGCAACUCAGGAGACAGAAGUUCAUUGAGCGCUGCAGAGCAGAGUUCAGCGCUCAAAAGUAUGCGGAGUUUGAGCAGAGAGUCACGACGCUAGAGCCGAGGAGCAUGGCAGAUCAUAUGGGCGUAACAAUUCAAGUCGGAAUCAAAAGGUAUGUUGAUGCACUCACAGAUACAUCGUUUCUAGAACUGCAGGGACAGGUAGGAGAGUGGGUCGAGCAACAGGUCCAAUCUUGGUUGAUCUUUUUUGUUUGAUCUAUUUCUUUCUGUUCCAGUGCAGAGACAAUGACCAGCAGCCGCAGCCACAGCACCAGCACCAACAGCAACAGGGAUGGCUCAACUCUAGAACUGCAGGGACAGGUUUGCUGAUGCACUCACGGAUACAUCGUUUCUAGAACUGCAGGGACAGGUAGGAGUGUGGGUCAAGCAACAGGUCCAAUCUUGAUUGAUCUUUUUUGUUUGAUCUAUUUCUUUCUGUUCCAGUGCAGAGACGAUGACCAGCAGCCACAGCACUAGCACCAACAGCAACAGGGAUGGCUCGACUCUAGAACUGCAGGGACAGGUAUGCUGAUGCACUCACGGAUACAUCGUUUCUAGAACUGCAGGGACAGGUAGGAGUGUGGGUCGAGCAACAGGUCCA
RNAcentral lists this long non-coding RNA (721 nucleotides) under Eucalyptus grandis. RNAcentral's name for it is "long non-coding RNA (EGRA_LNC004199)". The record is from RNAcentral. Lineage: Eukaryota; Viridiplantae; Streptophyta; Magnoliopsida; Myrtales; Myrtaceae.